Molecule: ribosomal RNA, 332 nt
Filed under: uncultured bacterium
Lineage: Bacteria
Description: bacterial SSU rRNA
Rfam family: Bacterial small subunit ribosomal RNA
Source: RNAcentral
CGUGUAGGCGGGGAUAUAAGUCAGAUGUGAAAUUCCGGGGCUCAACUCCGGAGCUGCAUCUGAAACUAUAUCUCUUGAGUGCUGGAGAGGAAAGCGGAAUUCCUAGUGUAGCGGUGAAAUGCGUAGAGAUUAGGAGGAACACCAGUGGCGAAGGCGGCUUUCUGGACAGUAACUGACGCUGAGGCGCGAAAGCGUGGGGAGCAAACAGGAUUAGAUACCCUGGUAGUCCACGCUGUAAACGAUGGAUACUAGGUGUAGGAGGUAUCGACCCCUUCUGUGCCGGAGUUAACACAAUAAGUAUCCCACCUGGGGAGUACGGCCGCAAGGUUGAA